Anopheles stephensi (Asian malaria mosquito) is the source of this 854-nucleotide long non-coding RNA. RefSeq lists it as uncharacterized. Lineage: Eukaryota; Metazoa; Arthropoda; Insecta; Diptera; Culicidae. The transcript is spliced from 3 exons. The record is from RefSeq and is a predicted model, not a curated record.
UGGUUGGUUCUGUUGGCUGCCUGCUAAUGAGUAAAUCAUUCAGGCGGAACUAGAGCGUAUCGGGGUGCUCGGUUGAUUGUUUAAGUAAUUGUCAACUAUCGGACAUCAAAGAUGAGAAGAGGCUGUGUUAUAUGAGAAGAUGAUCGGAGUUGAAAUUGACCAUGAAAGUAGUUAUUAGAAAAUGUAUUUGCGAUCUGGUUACCUCGGCUUUCGGUGUUCAUGGAUCGUCAAAUUUACGCUGCCUGUCACGCUGCUAGCUUCUUCUCCACCUUCUCAUUUCGCGAAAAAGGCGCCAAUGAGCUGUUCGCGAACUCCUCUGGCCAGUGACACAAGCGAAACUGCACAACAGACGCUGCCUUCUGCGGUAAGGUAUUCCUUGAAUUGGGAGGAAGAAAACGUGACGAAAUGAACUUCGCAACGAGCGAUGGGUAGGAUAGAAAUAAGAUGGAGAUUUAUUUAGUAGUCUCCUGACUACUCAUCCAUCUCACGGUGAUGGGGAAAAGGAAAAGCGAAAAAACGUUUGGCACACGGACAAGUGACUGUCUUCUGGUUAGCAAUCGUUCAUAAACAGGAGGGAAUUAUGAUGUAGUGAAAAUUUUCGUUGGCACAACACACAUGUAACCAGUCGUCGGGUGCCGAUGCAAAUUGUAUGUACAAUUGGUGGUCGCACACCUGAAUGCGGAUUGACUAAUGGGUGGAAGAAAAUAUGAAGAAAUUUCUCGCCAAGCAACUCAUCUGUGAAGAAUGUCGUCGAUAAGUUUGUGCAUAUUUUUCUGCGGCUCUUAGCAAAACCGUUUGAGGCGUGUGUUGCCUUACCAUGGGAAGGAAAUAAUAAACGGUCCAAAAAUAAUCCA